Lynx canadensis (Canada lynx) is the source of this 793-nucleotide long non-coding RNA. RefSeq lists it as uncharacterized. Lineage: Eukaryota; Metazoa; Chordata; Mammalia; Carnivora; Felidae. The record is from RefSeq and is a predicted model, not a curated record. The transcript has 4 exons.
CGGAGAGGCCGGGCCGGAGUUUUCGGUUUUCGGCGGGGGGAGCCGGAGGACGGCUGGCGGCGAGGGAGGAGGAAGAGGGAGCGGGAAAGAUCGCGGGAGAGCCCAAUCACGGGGCGAGCUGGACCGGGCUGUGAUCAUUUAUAAUCCUGGACUCCUCCGCUCCGCCACUUGUCAAGAUGACAGGCCGCGUCGGGUACGGGAAAGCUCCGAGGCUCCCAUGCUGUGACCAAUCAGUGCCUCUACUACUCUUGCCGUGAUUUAGGGGUCAUCCAUGAAUAACACUUCACGCUGAUGAAUGGCUCUUGCACGCUUUCGGCUCUGAUGAGGGUUCUGCCCGCCGCUGAUUGCAAACACUAAUGAACUCCCAGCGCCAUUUGAAAUUCACACGCACCUACAAAGUGCGGGGGGUGGGCAUUUCAGGUCAGCUGAGUCACCCGAGGAGGUAGGAGUGCAAGACACUGCCGGGAAGAUGGAUUCCGAGGCAGAAGGGUGUAAUUAAGGAUUUCCACUCCCGGUAGGCGGCCCGUCCUUUACAUGAGGAUCUGAAAAUGACCUGCGCCUUCCCCUCCAGAGUGUCCUCUCGUCCCAGACUGAAAAGCGCAAAUGACCUUCGCACGCGGGAAGGGGUUAUACACGAGCCCCAACUCGGCACCGGCGGCGGCGAACAAGUGUCCGCCUUGUGGUUCAAGCACCAAGACCGCCCCAACAAGCGCGCGCUGGCCGGUGGGGACGGAUUCUGGAGUCCUCCCAAGGCUCCACGCCCCGCAUUCUCCGACGCCGCCCCCCUCCCCAG